CGAGGCUAAAGCCUGCAACCGUAGACUGUAAAACUCGACUGGACAGUCACAAGCUGAAAUCUGCUCUCUCUUGUACCUAAUAAAACUCUAGCACUUAAUUAAACUAUGGGAAAUGCUAUUCCAUCGCUCCUUGAAGGUAUUAACAUACACAGCGAUGGAUUAAAGAUGGCAGUCACCAUACACAGCGAAGCCUUAAACUCGACAGCAAAAACAGUAGGGAAUGGACUGUGGAUGGUUGGAUUUGGGGUGGGCAUGGGCCUAUUCUGCAUAUCAGUGGGAAUGGUGGUGGGACCCAGGAUAAGAAGUGGGCACCACGACCAGUGAGUAUGCAAAGAGACGACACUCAAACCAUUGAUGUUUUUAAUUAAACUAUAGUAUAGGUUGUACAUAGGAUUGACAGUGCAGUUGUGUGUGUUUUCAAUUAUUGCUACACAUUAAUUUUUGAUAAUAAAUAUAUAGCCACUGAAUAUUAAUUUUUAUGC
Molecule: long non-coding RNA, 482 nt
Organism: Halichondria panicea
Lineage: Eukaryota; Metazoa; Porifera; Demospongiae; Suberitida; Halichondriidae
Exons: 3
Source: RefSeq, a predicted model, not a curated record